GAUGAACGCUGGCGGCGUGCUUAACACAUGCAAGUCGAACGGAAAGGCCCUGCUUUUGUGGGGUGCUCGAGUGGCGAACGGGUGAGUAACACGUGAGUAACCUGCCCUUGACUUUGGGAUAACUUCAGGAAACUGGGGCUAAUACCGGAUAGGAGAUCCUGCUGCAUGGUGGGGGUUGGAAAGUUUCGGCGGUUGGGGAUGGACUAGCGGCUUAUCAGCUUGUUGGUGGGGUAGUGGCUUACCAAGGCUUUGACGGGUAGCCGGCCUGAGAGGGUGACCGGCCACCUUGCGACUGAGAUACGGCCCAGACUCGUACGGGAGGCAGCAGGGGGGAGUAUUGCACAGUGGGCGGGAGCCUGAUGCGGCAACGCCGCGUGCGGGAUGACGGCCUACGGGUUGUGAACCGCUUUCGCCUGUGACGAAGCGUGAGUGACGGUAAUGGGUAAAGAAGCACCGGCUAACUACGUG
RNAcentral lists this ribosomal RNA (468 nucleotides) under uncultured bacterium. RNAcentral describes it as "partial 16S ribosomal RNA". It matches the Rfam family "Bacterial small subunit ribosomal RNA", at positions 28 to 507 of the family's 1533-position model. The record is from RNAcentral.